UGGGGUAUCGUCUAGUGGCAGGACAGGUGGUUUUGGUCCAUCUAACCGAGGUUCGAAUCCUUGUACCCCAGCCA
This 74-nucleotide transfer RNA is filed under the name Campylobacterales bacterium. Its description in RNAcentral is "tRNA-Gln". It matches the Rfam family "tRNA". Rfam says of the family: Transfer RNA (tRNA) molecules are approximately 80 nucleotides in length. Their secondary structure includes four short double-helical elements and three loops (D, anti-codon, and T loops). The record is from RNAcentral. Lineage: Bacteria; Pseudomonadati; Campylobacterota; Epsilonproteobacteria; Campylobacterales.